GGACAUCAAACUCAAAUCCGUCGCAGCCGUCGGCCAGGGCGCGAUCGAACGAGGCCAGCGUGUUUUCCGGAAUCGAGCGGACGGCGCGGGCGCCGCGGUGACCGAGAAGAAGAGGACGCGAGCUCAUGCAGGAAGUGUAAGACAGGUCAGUCGAGAUCGAAGUCGCGAAUGGGCUUGCCGGUGUCGGGAGAUUCCUUGGCCUUCUUCACCGCUUCCUGAAACUUUUUCUCCAGGAGACCGAUAGCGCACAAGUA
Molecule: ribosomal RNA, 254 nt
Filed under: uncultured eukaryote
Lineage: Eukaryota
Description: partial large subunit ribosomal RNA
Source: RNAcentral